GAAACCCUGCGAUGUUUGUGUAGCCGUUAAAAGUUUUGAGCUAACACUUAGAACUUGGGAGCUUGUCUCUGGAUGCGGCACAUAUGCCUUGAUCACAAAGGACAUGUAAAGCAGCCAGGAAAGUACCCACCUGUGGGGAGAGAGUUCAAAACAAAACGGUUAUCACGGCAUAGUGGGGUUUUU
RNAcentral lists this non-coding RNA (183 nucleotides) under Bacillota bacterium. RNAcentral's name for it is "Firmicutes bacterium (anaerobic digester metagenome) 6S RNA". It matches the Rfam family "6S / SsrS RNA". From Rfam's summary of the family: E. coli 6S RNA was the first non coding RNA to be sequenced, but its function was unknown until recently. It consists of 184 nucleotides that fold into an extended hairpin structure with a large single-stranded internal bulge. The 6S RNA specifically associates with RNA polymerase holoenzyme containing the sigma70 specificity factor. Lineage: Bacteria; Bacillati; Bacillota. RNAcentral also lists the same sequence under 1 other name. The record is from RNAcentral.